This 888-nucleotide long non-coding RNA is filed under the name Coturnix japonica (Japanese quail). RNAcentral's name for it is "lncRNA (ENSCJPG00005021047.1)". Lineage: Eukaryota; Metazoa; Chordata; Aves; Galliformes; Phasianidae. The record is from RNAcentral.
UCUUAAAGGAAGAUAGUGCAGGAGAUUGCAGUUCUGGGCACCUGCUUUCUGGCCUUGGCAGAACACGAUGCACUUUGAAUGGGGGAGAAUCUUUCCUUGGGCAGAUGAUAGCGUGUGCUGCUGACUGAGCCAGCUAUGGCAGUUGAGUGCAGAGCUGUAGCUUGAGGAAAUGCAUGUGCUCCAUGGGGAAUGUGCCUCUCAAGCCAGGACAAUGGGGGAAGAGAUCAUGGGGUGUAAGUCUGAAGAGACAUCAGUGCUAUGGACAGCCUAAUGGCUGACUACUGUAUAACCAGAUGCAUGGCCACUCCAUAACAGCCCAUAAGCCCUGCCCACGUACCCAGCGGUUCACUCUGAGCUCUGUUCAUGCAGUCUUUAAGUCGUGAUACCCUGUCUCUUCUUUUGCCUUCAUCAGAAAGCUCAACUACAACUACUGUGGAAUCAUCUACCAUAUCUGGAUCACCAGCAACAGAAACCACACCUACAAGUCCUGGAGACAGUUCUACCAACUCUACAACACCAUCAACAGACGAAACCACACCUACAAGUCCUGGGAACAGUUCUGCCAUCUCUACAACACCAUCAACAGACGGAAAUACAACUGCGUCAACUGGGAAUGCUACUAUGGUCCCUUCUUCACCAGUAACACAAGGUAAUUAUGAAAAUUCCCUUCAGCCCUCUGUGCGAGCAAUCCUCAGUUGCAGGAGCUACAGAGAGCACAAGCAGCACUGUGUCUUCCUGCCCAGAGGGUACACACUUAUCAAGAAAUGCAGGAAGUUGUUGUGCUUCUUUGGAGCCUGGUCAAAGAAGGAACACACAGUGGUUCCCCAAUGGUAUAGUGAAGAAGUGCAGGGAGUUAUUGCAAGGCAAUGCAUGAUUGCCCAUGGCUGA